UUAUUAUAUACACUGGAUAUAUCUUCUAUGGUAUCCUGUCCACCUUACUUUUGACCACAAUACCCUCUUUGUUUCCUUCAGGGUGUUUCAAAUAUUUAAUUAUCUUGCUAGAUGCCAGUCAACACUUUCUAUUUGUCCCAUGAAUUUCAAAUCAGGGGAAAACAUAUACUCCCAAUAGGGAGUUGAGAUACUCUUAAAAUCAGUCAUUGUGUCUGUGACCGGAAAAACAAAUCCCACUAAAGAAUGUCCUAAGCAGAUUUUUUUUUUUUUUUUUUGUCAUAUAACCUGGAGUUAGGUGACUUGGCAUUGGUUCAGGGGCUGAAGGAUGUUAGGGAUGAGGUCUCUGUAGUUUUCUUGUCUCACAGUCACAAAAUGAAGUGUUAUUGAUUAAGCAGGGAUGCCCUACUUAGUAUUAGACUUCUUGGAAGUCUCCCUAAUUGCCACAGCCCCUAUCUUUUUGGCUUCAUUUCAAGGGUCCUUCUACAUUGUUAAUACUCUGGUAUAAAUAAGUUCCAUUAUUCCCUAUAACAUGACUGAAACCAAUCUAAAGUAUUAACAUUUUAAAUAUGUUUUGGGGAGCUACUCAGCUACUAGGGAGGCUGAGGUGGGAGGAUUGCUUGAGCCUGGGAGUUUCAGGCUGUAGUGAGCUAUGGUUGUGCCACUGUACUCCAGCCUGGGUAACUGAGAUCCUGUCUCAAUAAAUAAAUAAAACAAGUAUAUGUAUAAUAUAUAAUAUUACAGAUACAUACGUAUGUAUGUAUGUUUUUCAUCCCCACCCUUUGCCACAUCUCGGGGACCUGCCAGCAGCUCAUCCAGUUUAAAGCUGCUGUUCCUCUACCUCAGUGGUUUGGGAGAACAUGGUCAUUAUUUCACUCAUUCUUUACCUCCUCUGUCUCUUCUAGGAUUGGAAUGGGGGAGGGCAUAUUAGAGGAUAAAGUCUCAACUUAUGUGAUUAAUGUACCAUUGGUGUGUUCUGUGCAGACAAGCAUUUAAAUGUUGACUCCUGUUUGAGCUAUUGGGGUUCUCUGGAGCUCUCCAUGAGGACUGGAGCACUAACUGACUUUGAUUGCCUCUUUUUGAUGCACAGCCCACACUGCCCUUCAGCUCUUCAGCCCCUGACCCUGACAAUGUAUCCACAGCCUCCUUGUGCUAAAGUGCCUCACCCUCGUACACAGCCCUCCUGGGAAUGGUCCCAGCAAACCCUCAAGACUGGUUACCUUUCAUGGAACCCACAGGAAAUGCAUACAUAUUUGUCCUGCCAAACUAUAAGUGCAACCCAGCCAGCAGCUUGCUUUUCUCACACUGCCUUGUCCCAGCCAGCCUGACUCAUAUAUGUGAGAAGUGCCAGUCUCUAUAAUUCACAUGGCUCCAGAUCCUCAUAAGUGAUUCAGGUUAUGUUCUCCCAAGAAUCCUCUGUGCCACAUUCCACUCUGGUGGCCAAAUGGAGAUGGGUCUGUACAUUUCUGAGCUUAGCAAGUCUUUAUCUAGAGAAUGUAAUGCUGAAUGAAUGUAAUGCCUCUCCCUCACAUGGAAACACUAAUAUCUACAAAUGGUUCUGUUGGAGCCCUCCUCACUCAGGAGGGCUCUGCUAGAAUGAAGGGAGCAUACUAUUCCUUUGUCUUGCAGGGAGAAGUUAUCCCUAUUCCUAAAGAUUCCCAUCAAUGAAUCUUUUAUUUCUAAUCUCAUAUACAAUAGAAAGUGUAGCAGUCUUCUGGAUCAGCUUUACUAUCUUAGAAUAAACUUCAUGUGGAUGUAUCUAGUACCUUUAUUUGGAAUGUGUUGGUUCCUAUCACCUCUUGUCAUCAGUUUCGAUAUGUUAUCCAAAGAUCUUAGGCAACUGAAAAACUCUAACUUCCUCUUUUAUACAGAUAUUCUUAUUAAAUGUGAAGUUUCCUUU
This 1897-nucleotide long non-coding RNA is filed under the name Macaca fascicularis (crab-eating macaque). RNAcentral describes it as "lncRNA (ENSMFAG00000065782.1)". The record is from RNAcentral. Lineage: Eukaryota; Metazoa; Chordata; Mammalia; Primates; Cercopithecidae.